CUGCUAGAUGUGCGGUCAACAGUUCCCCACGCGGUCUCAGCUGUACGUUCACUUCGCGCACGGCCCGCACGGCCGGCAGAUGGAGUGCAAGAAGUGCGGGGCGAGGUUCGAGUGAGUAUAGUGUGUAUAUAGUACUGCAAGAUGUGCGGCCAACAGUUCCCCACACGGUCCCAGCUGUACGUGCACUUCGCGCACGGUUCGCACGGCCGGCAGAUGGAGUGCAAGAAGUGCGGGGCGAGGUUCGAGUGAGUAUAGUGUGUAUAUAGUACUGCAAGAUGUGCGGUCAACAGUAU
Long non-coding RNA from Cydia amplana, 293 nucleotides. RefSeq lists it as uncharacterized. Lineage: Eukaryota; Metazoa; Arthropoda; Insecta; Lepidoptera; Tortricidae. The record is from RefSeq and is a predicted model, not a curated record. The transcript is spliced from 2 exons.